GCCGUUUUGGCGGAGCAACGCACUAAGUUUAGGACUUUGAGAGGAUCUGUAAUCAGACGGUA
Molecule: transfer RNA, 62 nt
Filed under: Baikalogammarus pullus
Lineage: Eukaryota; Metazoa; Arthropoda; Malacostraca; Amphipoda; Baikalogammaridae
Description: tRNA-Leu
Source: RNAcentral